Molecule: ribosomal RNA, 253 nt
Filed under: uncultured bacterium
Lineage: Bacteria
Description: partial 16S ribosomal RNA
Rfam family: Bacterial small subunit ribosomal RNA
Source: RNAcentral
UACGUAGGGGGCAAGCGUUGUCCGGAUUUAUUGGGUUUAAAGGGUGCGUAGGCGGUCCUACAAGUCAGUGCUGAAAUAUCCCGGCUUAACCGGGAGGGUGGCAUUGAUACUGCAGGACUUGAGUAAAGUUGAGGUAGGCGGAAUUGACGGUGUAGCGGUGAAAUGCUUAGAUAUCGUCAAGAACACCGAUAGUGAAGACAGCUUACUAAACUUUAACUGACGCUGAGGCACGAAAGUGUGGGGAUCAAACAGG